RNAcentral lists this ribosomal RNA (490 nucleotides) under uncultured bacterium. Its description in RNAcentral is "partial 16S ribosomal RNA". It matches the Rfam family "Bacterial small subunit ribosomal RNA", at positions 29 to 507 of the family's 1533-position model. The record is from RNAcentral.
AGUGAACGCUGGCGGUAGGCCUAACACAUGCAAGUCGAACGGCAGCACAGAGGAGCUUGCUCCUUGGGUGGCGAGUGGCGGACGGGUGAGGAAUACAUCGGAAUCUACUCUGUCGUGGGGGAUAACGUAGGGAAACUUACGCUAAUACCGCAUACGACCUACGGGUGAAAGCAGGGGAUCUUCGGACCUUGCGCGAUUGAAUGAGCCGAUGUCGGAUUAGCUAGUUGGCGGGGUAAAGGCCCACCAAGGCGACGAUCCGUAGCUGGUCUGAGAGGAUGAUCAGCCACACUGGAACUGAGACACGGUCCAGACUCCUACGGGAGGCAGCAGUGGGGAAUAUUGGACAAUGGGCGCAAGCCUGAUCCAGCCAUACCGCGUGGGUGAAGAAGGCCUUCGGGUUGUAAAGCCCUUUUGUUGGGAAAGAAAUACAGCCGGCUAAUACCUGGUUGGGAUGACGGUACCCAAAGAAUAAGCACCGGCUAACUUCGUG